AUGUGCCCUUUGGAAAUUGUGUAUGGUUUUCUACCUCAUGCACCUAUUGAUUUGUUGCCUCUUCCAUCUUCGGAGAAGGUUAAUUUUCAUGCUAAAGAACGUGUUGAAUUGUUUUUAAAAAUGCAUGAGCUAACUAAGGAAAACAUUGAGCGUAUGAAUGCUAAAUAUAAACUUGCUAGAGAUAAGGGUAGAAAACAUGUUGUGUUUGCACCUGGAGAUCUUGUUUGGUUACAUUUGCGUAAGGAUAGAUUUCCUAAUUUGUGCAAAUCAAAGCUAAUUCCACGUGCUACUGGUCCUUUUAAGGUGUUAGAGAAAAUAAAUAAUAAUGCAUAUAAACUUGAGCUGCCUGCAGAUUUUGGGAUUAGUCCCACUUUUAGCAUUGCAGAUUUGAAGCCUUAUUUGGGUGAGGAGGAUGAGCUUUCAUCGAGGACGACUUCAUUUCAAGAAGAGGAGGAUGAUGAGGACAUCAAUACCAUUGUUACACCCACAACCCCUGCUGUUAUACAUACUGGACCAAUUACUAGAGCUCGCGCACACCAAUUGAAUUAUCAGGUACCUUCGUUUCUUGGUAACGAUUCUAAUGUUCAUGAGAAUAUGAUGCUCCCUAAAUUGGAUACAUUUGUUUUGCUUACAAAUGAAGGGCCUAGUUUGGACAAGAAAGAUGAACCUUGGAGCAAGUACAAGCAUGGAGAUGAUGGCAUGCACAAGGGGAUCAAGAACGGAGUUACAAGUGAUGAUUUCAGGACUUUGAAGCCACCAUAA
RNAcentral lists this ribosomal RNA (762 nucleotides) under Triticum aestivum (bread wheat). RNAcentral's name for it is "partial small subunit ribosomal RNA". Lineage: Eukaryota; Viridiplantae; Streptophyta; Magnoliopsida; Poales; Poaceae. The record is from RNAcentral.